GGAUGGUCAUGAUGCGAGUAUGACGAAAAUUAUUAAAUUAAAAACUGAUUAAGUGACGCAGACGCUUCAGAAAAUAUCGAAUUUCAAUUUUUCAAAUACUACAUUGAACUCUGAUGUCGUGUGUUACACCUUACCGUUCAUCUUGUUUACUGUGUUGACCUUUCGUGUCCGUUCAGUGAUAUUCAUUCAGUUUGUUCAGUACGAUGGCCUCCGUGUGGGAAAGUUGUAGGUGCACCUACCGAGACUGAUGUGGAACUAUUACAAUUUUUACAUAAUAAUGGAGAAAAUUUAUUCUUUUUAUGAGAACACCCUGUGUUACCAAGAAAAGUGAAGUCCCCCUAGUGUGAUAGGUCAGAUCGACAUCAAUAAGUGGCUCAAGAAUUGUUUAAGAAAGCCCCCCAGUUCAUGAAGUUUCCAAUCAUCAUAUUAUAUGAAGUUGUUGAAAUGUUAAAUUCUUCCCAGAAAAACAAUGAAAUAAGGAAAAGACCAGAUCAAGUAUACUUGUUCAUGUGCGAUCUCUUCUUCCCAAUGAACACCAUAUUCUUUGGAAGCUUGAAAUUCAAGUCAAUGGUCCCUGUGGGCUUUUUCCAUAUGAAUAGGUGUCACCUACUGAAUAAUAAUAA
This is a long non-coding RNA of Macrobrachium nipponense, 623 nucleotides long. RefSeq lists it as uncharacterized. The transcript has 4 exons. The record is from RefSeq and is a predicted model, not a curated record. NCBI's taxonomy places the organism in Eukaryota, Metazoa, Arthropoda, Malacostraca, Decapoda, Palaemonidae.